GAUGAACGCUGGCGGCGUGCUUAGCACAUGCAAGUCGAACGGAAAGGCUCCUGCUUGCAGGGGUACUCGAGUGGCGAACGGGUGAGUAACACGUGGGUGAUCUGCCCUGCACUUCGGGAUAAGCCUGGGAAACUGGGUCUAAUACCGGAUAGGACGAUGGUUUGGAUGCCAUUGUGGAAAGUUUUUUCGGUGUGGGAUGAGCUCGCGGCCUAUCAGCUUGUUGGUGGGGUAAUGGCCUACCAAGGCGUCGACGGGUAGCCGGCCUGAGAGGGUGUACGGCCACAUUGGGACUGAGAUACGGCCCAGACUCCUACGGGAGGCAGCAGUGGGGAAUAUUGCACAAUGGGCGCAAGCCUGAUGCAGCGACGCCGCGUGGGGGAUGACGGCCUUCGGGUUGUAAACUCCUUUCGCUAGGGACGAAGCGCAAGUGACGGUACCUGGAGAAGAAGCACCGGCUAACUACGUG
This 466-nucleotide ribosomal RNA is filed under the name uncultured bacterium. RNAcentral describes it as "partial 16S ribosomal RNA". It matches the Rfam family "Bacterial small subunit ribosomal RNA", at positions 28 to 507 of the family's 1533-position model. The record is from RNAcentral.